UGGUGCCAGCAGCCGCGGUAAUUCCAGCUCCAAUAGCGUAUAUUAAAGUUGUUGCAGUUAAAAAGCUCGUAGUUGAAUUUCGGAAUCUGUCCAUCGGUCGGGCUUCACUGUUCGUACUGGUGUGGUGGGUUCUUACCUUCUGAAUGAACCAGUCAUGCCUUUCACUUGGUGCGUUGGGAAAGCAGGACUAUUACCUUAAAAA
Molecule: ribosomal RNA, 202 nt
Filed under: Acaulosporaceae sp.
Lineage: Eukaryota; Fungi; Glomeromycota; Glomeromycetes; Diversisporales; Acaulosporaceae
Description: partial small subunit ribosomal RNA
Rfam family: Eukaryotic small subunit ribosomal RNA
Source: RNAcentral